Molecule: ribosomal RNA, 486 nt
Filed under: uncultured bacterium
Lineage: Bacteria
Description: partial 16S ribosomal RNA
Rfam family: Bacterial small subunit ribosomal RNA
Source: RNAcentral
AUUGAACGCUGGCGGCAUGCCUUACACAUGCAAGUCGAACGGCAGCACGGGUGCUUGCACCUGGUGGCGAGUGGCGAACGGGUGCGUAAUACAUCGGAACAUGUCCUGUAGUGGGGGAUAGCCCGGCGAAAGCCGGAUUAAUACCGCAUACGCUCCACGGCUGAAAGCGGGGGACCUUCGGGCCUCGCGCUAUAGGGUUGGCCGAUGCCUGAUUAGCUAGUUGGUGGGGUAAAGGCCUACCAAGGCGACGAUCAGUAGCUGGUCUGAGAGGACGACCAGCCACACUGGAACUGAGACACGGUCCAGACUCCUACGGGAGGCAGCAGUGGGGAAUUUUGGACAAUGGGCGAAAGCCUGAUCCAGCAAUGCCGCGUGUGUGAAGAAGGCCUUCGGGUUGUAAAGCACUUUUGUCCGGAAAGAAAUCCUUGACUCUAAUACAGUCGGGGGAUGACGGUACCGGAAGAAUAAGCACCGGCUAACUACGUG